Molecule: long non-coding RNA, 460 nt
Filed under: Pongo abelii (Sumatran orangutan)
Lineage: Eukaryota; Metazoa; Chordata; Mammalia; Primates; Hominidae
Description: lincRNA
Source: RNAcentral
UUGGAAGUGAAUUAAGACCCUCUCUUGGACACCAGCUGUGAAAGAAGGGACUUUUUACCUAGUAAGGAUGUGACAGACCUGCUCCUGACCCUCCUUUGUUAGUGGCCAGUAAACACGUGCAAGGCAAAGUCCCACCCUAGUUUUGAAAAAAGCCAAACUAACAACUCUGCCCAAUUUCAAGGAACCAAUAUAAUUUUCCGUACAUGAGUGUGAUUUAGAAAUGGAAACAUCAGAGCAGGGUUAAGUCAACAACCAAGCCAUAGACCUCAAAAGUACCAGACUUCAUGGUUCAACGAUGCCAAGAAAAAGAUUCCACCUAUAAACUCUUUAGAGAGUAACCACCUCAGAAAGUUCCAGACAAACCAGUUCCGCUUUACAGACCAGCCCUGUAUAAAGCUCUUACCACGUUAGUAAGAAGUUACUUGUGCUUUGGUUAUCAAACAGGCACAAUUAAAGGGAA